UCUACGGGAGGCAGCAGUGGGGGAUAUUGCACAAUGGGGGAAACCCUGAUGCAGCGACGCCGCGUGGGUGAAGACGCGCCUCGGCGCGUAAAGCCCUGUCAGUAGGGAAGAAAAUGACGGUACCUGUAGAAGAAGCCCCGGCUAACUACGUGCCAGCAUCCGCGGUAAUACGUAGGGGGCCAGCGUUAUCCGGAUUUACUGGGUGGAAAGGGGGUGCAGACGGUGAUGCAAGCCAGGAGUGAAAACACGGGGCCUAACCCCGGGACUGCUGUUGGAACUGCGUGGCUAGAGUGCAGGAGGGGCAGGCGGAAUUCCUGGUGGAGCGGUGAAAUGCGUAGAUAUCAGGAGGAACACCGGUGGCGAAGGCGGCCUGCUGGACUGCAACUGACGUUGAGGCCCGAAAGCGUGGGGAGCAAACAGGAUUAGAUACCCCAGUAGUC
This 440-nucleotide ribosomal RNA is filed under the name uncultured bacterium. RNAcentral describes it as "partial 16S ribosomal RNA". It matches the Rfam family "Bacterial small subunit ribosomal RNA", at positions 338 to 795 of the family's 1533-position model. The record is from RNAcentral.